UUAUGAAGGGCUUCAUAGAUUAGGGAGUAAACUGGCUAUUUUUAAAGGUUUGAGGUAAAACCAUUAAAGUGACCAAACCACAGAGAGCAAAACGGAAGUUUACUCUAUUCAUAAUCUCCGUCCCAACAACCCAUGCCUCAUGUCUUCAUGUCUUUAUAAUCCCCGGCCCAAUAGUUCCAGCAGCCCAACAAACACGAUCCGGUUCCAGUGAAGCCCACAUGUAUAUAUCUUCUUUUGCCCGACCCCUACGAUGAGGUUCGCCAUUGCAUCUCCACUU
This 277-nucleotide long non-coding RNA is filed under the name Helianthus annuus (common sunflower). RNAcentral's name for it is "sRNA HanXRQr2_Chr05g0214701". Lineage: Eukaryota; Viridiplantae; Streptophyta; Magnoliopsida; Asterales; Asteraceae. The record is from RNAcentral.